UAUAUUUCCCACUAGGAGGAUUAUAAAUCUGCCUGGCAUCCCUUUUUGGUCCUGCUGGAGAUUUCUUGGGUGGUGAACCAGAAGUUGUAUCUUCAUUGGCUCUCUUUUGCCUAUAAUGGUUUCCAGGAUAAUGUUACUGUGCUUUUAUAAGAAGGAGGAAUGUGGAAGAGAUCCUGAAAAGACAAAAUGAGGCGAGAUUUCUAACAUAUUUGGUGGUGAGCGUAAGAAACAUGGAGACAUCUUAAAGAGACAGUUGAGGAGAGGAAGUUUUAAUCUAUCCUCCUUGCUCACCUAAAAAAAAGCUGCAAUAGAAAAAAAGUCCUGUUAAAUGAUGACGGAAGCUUACCUUUUUGGACUCAGUUAGUAUAAGUUCCUCUACUUCCUUUGUUAAGACCUCAUCUGGUAAAGUCUUAAGUUUUGUGGAGAGGAAUUUGAUUGCUCGUUCUCUAACAAUGUCCUCUCCCUGAAGUAUUUGGCUAAACAAGCCACCUAAAGUCCCUGCAAAACAAAAUAGUUGUGUGUAGCAAAUCAAUUCUAUACUGUAAUGAAAUUUCUCCAUUUAACUCA
Molecule: long non-coding RNA, 567 nt
Organism: Suricata suricatta (meerkat)
Lineage: Eukaryota; Metazoa; Chordata; Mammalia; Carnivora; Herpestidae
Exons: 3
Source: RefSeq, a predicted model, not a curated record